UACAUUUUACGUUUUCUAACAAACAUUCAGCAGAGGCCAUGACUAAUCCUAUAAUCUUAUUGUGACAUAAUUAAUAGCAAAAUAUAGUUCAAAGGUUUCCUAUUUGCACUUGUAAAAGCAUGUAUUGGGUAAGACUUCGGCUAACCCGGCCCAACUCAUUUUGUAUGCUUUAUUAUGAUCCAAUCUACGACAUCAAGUAUUCUUGUCUACUCCAUGCAAACCAAAUUUGACACUUGCUCUUACGAACGGUUUUGGAGAAAUAAAAAUUUCUUUUUGAACAUUAUGGGAGCAAAAGAAAGUGCACGUAUAGUUAAAUGCAGCUGAAUAUGCAGACCUAAGAGCAAGGGUGGGAUAACCAGAGCAAAGAUUUGUUAGAAAUAUGCUAUACAUUAAAAUAUUUAAUGUUUCUUUUUGUAUAUUUCAUCAUCAUUUGCAAGAUCAUUGUUUUCAACUAUGAUAUGUGGUCUAUUAUCAUAAAAGUAAAACAACAAGUUAUUGGAAUAUGA
This 506-nucleotide long non-coding RNA is filed under the name Prunus persica (peach). RNAcentral's name for it is "long non-coding RNA (PPER_LNC003558)". Lineage: Eukaryota; Viridiplantae; Streptophyta; Magnoliopsida; Rosales; Rosaceae. The record is from RNAcentral.